RNAcentral lists this ribosomal RNA (353 nucleotides) under uncultured bacterium. Its description in RNAcentral is "bacterial SSU rRNA". It matches the Rfam family "Bacterial small subunit ribosomal RNA", at positions 29 to 372 of the family's 1533-position model. The record is from RNAcentral.
AAUGAACGCUGGCGGCGCGCCUAAUACAUGCAAGUCGAGCGAGAAGACGUAGCAAUACGUUUGUAAAGCGGCGAACGGGUGAGGAAUACAUGGGUAACCUACCCUCGAGUGGGGAAUAACUAGCCGAAAGGUUAGCUAAUACCGCGUACGCUUCUUGGACUUCGGUUCAGGGAGGAAAGCGAUACCGUGGGUAUCGCGCUCUUGGAUGGGCUCAUGUCCUAUCAGCUUGUUGGUGAGGUAACGGCUCACCAAGGCUUCGACGGGUAGCUGGUCUGAGAGGACGAUCAGCCACACUGGCACUGCGACACGGGCCAGACUCCUACGGGAGGCAGCAGUAAGGAAUAUUGCGCAAU